UCUGGCUCAAGAACGAACGCUGGCGGCAGGGCUUAACACAUGCAAGUCGAACGCGUGUAGCAAUACACGAGUGGCGCACGGGUGAGUAACGCGUGGAUAUCUGCCUUUUGGUUCGGAAUAACUCCGGGAAACUGGAGCUAAUACCGGAUGGUUCCUACGGGAUAAAGAUUUAUCGCCAAAAGAUGAGUCCGCGUACGAUUAGCUAGUUGGUGAGGUAAUGGCUCACCAAGGCGACGAUCGUUAGCUGGUCUGAGAGGACGAUCAGCCACACUGGGACUGAGACACGGCCCAGACUCCUACGGGAGGCAGCAGUGGGGAAUAUUGGACAAUGGGGGCAACCCUGAUCCAGCCAUGCCGCGUGAGUGAUGAAGGCCUUCGGGUUGUAAAGCUCUUUUGGCGGGGACGAUGAUGACGGUACCCGCAGAAUAAGCCCCGGCUAACUUCGUG
RNAcentral lists this ribosomal RNA (447 nucleotides) under uncultured bacterium. RNAcentral's name for it is "bacterial SSU rRNA". It matches the Rfam family "Bacterial small subunit ribosomal RNA", at positions 18 to 507 of the family's 1533-position model. The record is from RNAcentral.